GUCUACGGCCAUACCACCCUGAACACGCCCGAUCUCGUCUAAUCUUGGAAGCUAAGCAGGGUCGGGCCUGGUUAGUACUUGGAAUGGAGAAAAGAUCACUAGAGGGGUGUUUUGGACU
RNAcentral lists this ribosomal RNA (118 nucleotides) under Erinaceus europaeus (western European hedgehog). Lineage: Eukaryota; Metazoa; Chordata; Mammalia; Eulipotyphla; Erinaceidae. The record is from RNAcentral.